GACGAACGCUGGCGGCGUGCCUAAUACAUGCAAGUUGAGCGCUGAAGGUUGGUACUUGUACCGACUGGAUGAGCAGCGAACGGGUGAGUAACGCGUGGGGAAUCUGCCUUUGAGCGGGGGACAACAUUUGGAAACGAAUGCUAAUACCGCAUAAAAACUUUAAACACAAGUUUUAAGUUUGAAAGAUGCAAUUGCAUCACUCAAAGAUGAUCCCGCGUUGUAUUAGCUAGUUGGUGAGGUAAAGGCUCACCAAGGCGAUGAUACAUAGCCGACCUGAGAGGGUGAUCGGCCACAUUGGGACUGAGACACGGCCCAAACUCCUACGGGAGGCAGCAGUAGGGAAUCUUCGGCAAUGGAGGAAAGUCUGACCGAGCAACGCCGCGUGAGUGAAGAAGGUUUUCGGAUCGUAAAACUCUGUUGGUAGAGAAGAACGUUGGUGAGAGUGGAAAGCUCAUCAAGUGACGGUAACUACCCAGAAAGGGACGGCUAACUACGUG
This 497-nucleotide ribosomal RNA is filed under the name uncultured bacterium. RNAcentral's name for it is "partial 16S ribosomal RNA". It matches the Rfam family "Bacterial small subunit ribosomal RNA", at positions 28 to 507 of the family's 1533-position model. The record is from RNAcentral.